Molecule: long non-coding RNA, 1138 nt
Organism: Dromaius novaehollandiae (emu)
Lineage: Eukaryota; Metazoa; Chordata; Aves; Casuariiformes; Dromaiidae
Exons: 2
Source: RefSeq, a predicted model, not a curated record
CCGAGCGCCGGGCGGGAGCGGGAGGGCUGAGGCCGUGGGGUGAGGGGAAGUGAGGGAGUUUUAUCGCCCCGGGGGCUGGCAGGGAGCACAGGCAGGGUCGCGGCUGCCUGAGCUCCCCAGAUAAAUGUUAAUGUGGGACGCAGACGCUUGGCGUGGCUUCUCGUCCCCUUUCUGGGUGCCGGGGGGGACUGAACAACGGGCCGGCCUUUAAGGCCGGUGGCAGGCUCUCUCGCCUACCGAGUAGCUCCUCGUGUUUUCCUGUGCUGUGCCGGGUGCAGCUUCUGUAGAGUGCUCGUUUUUCAGGCCUGCUCUGAACACCUCGAGCUCCCGCAACAUCUUCUUAUGCCUGGGAAUGACCUGAACAAACACUGCUUUUUGUUCCCUUACACCCUGUGAACUGCUGAAUGUCAGCUUUUGUUCUCUGCAUACAAAACACUUCCGUGCAGAUAAGCAUAGCAUUGUGAUUCACCCAGCAGGUGAAGAUAAUGCUGUCUCUGGGGAAGGUGCCGGAAAGCUUGAGGUUUUGAGGUUUGAUUCUUUUUUGUUAGCAGUUCUUUUCUUUCCAAACAUGACACUCCGGAAGAGCUGUCUUCAUGUGAAAAUCUUUUAUCCUGAUGAGAAAAUGCUAGCUAAGAAUGUUUUAAUAUCUGAAAGCCAGUUUUCUCUGUACCAACUAAUUAGAAAGCAUAUAUGUGGGUGCAUUAUAAAGCAAAUAUGUGGAAGAAAACACUUUGCUCUGAGGCUGGUCAAACACUGACUUAUGUUGCAUAGAGAGAUUGUGGGGUUUCCGUCGUUGGAGAUGGCCAAAACCUGGCUGGACAUGGUCCUGGAUGACACUGCUUGAGCAGGGGGGUUAGGCCACAGAGCCCAGAGGUGCCCUCCAACCCCAACUGUUGUGUGAUUCUGUGCAAUUUGGUGUUGAACAAUUGUUUUAAGACUUCACUGGGUUUUUUUUCAUCAGUAGGGGAGGGAAAGCAAAAUGGUGUUUUCCCCAUUGAAGAUAACUUUAGCAUUGACAAUGUGGAGUAACAGUGGCUUUGGUUAUGUGGUAGGCCGUGUAGUGCUGUCCUACCCCUUUUAUUACUUAGGGCCCAAAGCGCUCGAGACGUGAACUUUAUAAACUUGGAACUUGCAAUUA